Molecule: long non-coding RNA, 594 nt
Filed under: Gallus gallus (chicken)
Lineage: Eukaryota; Metazoa; Chordata; Aves; Galliformes; Phasianidae
Description: lncRNA (ENSGALG00010013671.1)
Source: RNAcentral
GUUCUCAUCAUCUUCUAUCAGUGUCCAGAAAUACUGAUCUGUUAUUUCACAGUUUACUGGGAAGGAACUGGAAUAAUUCUUGCCAGAAGAAUCAUAGGAUACGUUUCUAGAAGACUCUGCAUCAGCAAAAUGCAUUAUCUGUGAAGAAAUGUUUACUCUCAGGAGAGAUGCUCCACUUUCUUCACCAUCUUCAUGGCUCUUUGCUGUACUAUUUUCAGUAGCUCCAUGUCUCCAACAAGAGCACAGAAUGACAGAAUCACAGAAUGGCCUGGGUUGGAAGAGACCUCAAGGAUCAUGAAUCUCCAAACUGCCUGCCGGACAGGGCCACCAACCUCCCCAUUUACUAGACCAGGUUGCCCAGGGUCCCAUCCAACCUGGCCUUGAACACCUCCAGGGACGGAGCAUCUACAACCUCUCUGGGCAGCCCGUUCCAGCACCUCACCACUCUCCUGGUAAAGAACUUCCCCCUAACAUCCAACCUAAAUCUUCCCUCUUUCAACUUAAAACCGUUCCCCCUUGUCCUGCUGUUAUCUACCCUUUCAAAGAGUUUACUCUCUUCCUGUUUAUAGGCUCCCUUCAGGUACUGAAAGGCUG